CAGAAACGCCAGCAGGCACCGGAGGGGGGAAGACACGUCCGUACACCUACCAGCCCAGACAGCUUUUCGUUCCUGCUGGGGAACACAAACGCGCCCUUUUUCCUUUUUAAUUAGCGUUAUCAUUAUUUUUUCCCCCUUCUCUCAGCGUGUAGGCUAUAACUUUACGUUUUUUUUCUUCUUUUUUUCUUUUUUUAACCGAGCCGAGCAGGAACCGAGCCCGCCGUUAUAUUGGGAGUUUGUUGAAACAGUGCUGUGGCUGGAGAAGUGUAAAUGGCUGAGGGAGGUCGACGGAGGACUGGGGAGACAACUUGCAAGAUGUCGCACUUUGUGGAAGCCUAAAAAAGGAGUGUUUGUUUUGUUUUUUUAAAGCGAAUAUUACUGUUAGCGUGACAGGAGGUGGUGAAAGAGGAGGGGAGAGGCUGCAGCUCCAGGAGGAUCUUGGUGUUCGUUUGUUCCUCCGGCUCGGAGAGAAACAGUGGUAUCUUCCUGCCUCCUCUGUGUUUCUCAGACCUGCGGAGACGGAGGCUGUCUUCUGUUUGGACAUCUGUCCAUCUCUUUUUUCGUCUCUCAUAAGCUUCCACCCGACUCCUACACAUAAUCCACUCAGUUUGUUGAUGGUAUCUGCUUGCAGCCCUGGAAAGCUCCACAAUAUCUCUUUAAGUCUGAAGACAUUAGAAAUGCAUCAGCUCAAUGAGUGA
RNAcentral lists this long non-coding RNA (698 nucleotides) under Oreochromis niloticus (Nile tilapia). Its description in RNAcentral is "lncRNA (ENSONIG00000039675.1)". The record is from RNAcentral. Lineage: Eukaryota; Metazoa; Chordata; Actinopteri; Cichliformes; Cichlidae.